RNAcentral lists this ribosomal RNA (456 nucleotides) under Triticum aestivum (bread wheat). RNAcentral describes it as "partial small subunit ribosomal RNA". Lineage: Eukaryota; Viridiplantae; Streptophyta; Magnoliopsida; Poales; Poaceae. The record is from RNAcentral.
AUGUUACGAGCUUCUGGAAUACAAUGGGAUCUUCGUAAAGUAGAUCCUUAUGAGUCUUACAACCAAUUUGAUUGGAAAGUCCAGUGGCAAAAAGAAGGGGAUUCGUUAGCUCGCUAUUUAGUACGAAUUAGUGAAAUGAGGGAAUCCAUCAAAAUAAUUCAACAAGCUGUAGAAAAAAUUCCUGGAGGACCUUAUGAGAAUUUAGAAGUCUGACGCUUUAAGAAAGAAAAUAAUUCUGAACGGAAUGAUUUUGAGUAUAAAUUUAUUGGUAAAAAACCUGUGCGGUGGUCCUUGCCUUCGGGUGGGCCCUCGGUCGCCACGACGGUGGCCUUCAUCUUCGCCCAGUGCAUCUUGACACGGGCAAAGGCCAUCCGUGCACCCUCUAUGCACGCCGAGCACUUUGCAGCUUCAACUCGGGGCAGUGCGUCGGCGAGUCGCAUCACCGGGCCGAAGUAG